AGGUUGGGAGUUUGAUUCCCCGCUGUAUCUCUUUGAGAGGGGCUGGACUUGAUGAUACAUAGGGUUCCUUUUAGCUCUACAUUUCAAAGAUGAUGAUGAAAACAAACAUUGAAAGCCUUUGACUUUGGUUCUCAACAUUUAAGACUUAACCCUAAACUUUCAUAAAAACUAAAUCCCUGAAAUGUGGAACACUCAUAUUUAUUACAACUUGAUUUAACCCUCCGUUGCAUUUGGCAUCGUUACUGCAGGUACUAAUGAUAUGGGAAACUUUCCCCCUUAAGUUCUGUUCCUUUCUCCCCCACAUAUUUUUUCUGCAAUAAAGGGAGUGGCUAGUCCAUAAUGUUCCACAUGCAGACUUCCAUUUGAUCAUGUUUAUUAUUUUUAAAUUUCAAGAGCUUCACUGAAAAAUAAUGAGAGAAAAUGAGACAAGUAAUUCUCCAAAGUAUGAAGGAACUAAAUGUCCGCACUAUAUAAUGUAAACCUCUGUUAAUAUGAAGGAACUAAAUGUCCGCACUAUAUACAGUAAUGUAAACCUCUGUUAGCCAUCUAAUAGCUACUUUAAUUUAGGGAACAGUUGAAAUUAGUGUGAAUUAUUAAUUAUUUUCUUUCUUAUACCUCCAGGAACUUUUGAGUAGAGUAAGGAACUGCAAGUAAAGAGUUGUUAAAAGCACCUCAAAAUCAACAUUCAAGGUCGUGGUUUAAACCAAGAAUGGAAAUGAAUAAAUUCCAAUGUGAACUCUGUGGAGGACAUUCCACACUGGGGCUUCAUGUGUGAACUGGAUAGCCAGUCAACAGAUACAAGAGACUGGAAUGUCCCUCAAGUCUGUGCUGACUUCGGUUAAAGGGGAGAUAAAGAAGAAACAGAUGGACUUGGUCCAGUAGCGGCUGAUGUUACUGUUCUCUGAGCAAGCACCGCCACAGAGAAACAGCAAGCUAAGCUGGUGCUGCCCACAGAGGUCUCCUGCUGCCUCGGAGGCAGAUUCACUUCUGCAGAGGAGAGCAGAGCAAGGAGCGUUUCUUUUGAAAAAACAAAAAAUAGAGAAUGUGUGAGAGGAACAAGCAGUCUAUUCAUUAAUUGAGGGAAGCGAUGCAAGCGAGGCAAAUUUGUUUCCCAGGCAAAUCGUUGCAAACAUCAACAGCAUGUCCAAAUGCAGGAACAUCCAGAGAUUCACAGCGUUCACUGGAAAAGUUUGAAAACGACUAGGGACACCAAAACCAAAUGUAUUCCGUGAUCCAUCUCCAGCUGUGACAUACCACUCAUAUAUCACAAAAACAGGGAAAAUAAAGCCUCACGUGCAUAAUAUUCA
This 1307-nucleotide long non-coding RNA is filed under the name Pogona vitticeps (central bearded dragon). Its description in RNAcentral is "lncRNA (ENSPVIG00000001675.1)". The record is from RNAcentral. Lineage: Eukaryota; Metazoa; Chordata; Lepidosauria; Squamata; Agamidae.